This 253-nucleotide ribosomal RNA is filed under the name uncultured bacterium. Its description in RNAcentral is "partial 16S ribosomal RNA". It matches the Rfam family "Bacterial small subunit ribosomal RNA", at positions 524 to 776 of the family's 1533-position model. The record is from RNAcentral.
UACAGAGGGUGCGAGCGUUAAUCGGAAUUACUGGGCGUAAAGCGUGCGUAGACGGUUAUUUAAGUCGGGUGUGAAAGCCCCGGGCUCAACCUGGGAAUUGCAUUCGAGACUGAAUAGCUAGGGUACGGUAGAGGGAAGCGGAAUUUCCGGUGUAGCGGUGAAAUGCGUAGAUAUCGGGAGGAACACCAGUGGCGAAGGCGGCUACCUGGCCCACUCUUGACGCUGAGGCGCGAAAGCUAGGGGAGCAAACGGG